Molecule: ribosomal RNA, 253 nt
Filed under: uncultured bacterium
Lineage: Bacteria
Description: partial 16S ribosomal RNA
Rfam family: Bacterial small subunit ribosomal RNA
Source: RNAcentral
UACGAAGGGGGCUAGCGUUGUUCGGAAUUACUGGGCGUAAAGGGCGCGUAGGCUGUGCUGUAAGUCAGGCGUGAAAUCCCCGGGCUCAACCUGGGAAUUGCGCAUGAUACUGCGGCGCUUGAAGACGGGAGAGGAUGGCGGAAUUCCCAGUGUAGAGGUGAAAUUCGUAGAUAUUGGGAAGAACACCAGUGGCGAAGGCGACUUUCUGGCUCGAUACUGACGCUAAGGCGCGAAAGCGUGGGGAGCAAACAGG